UUGGGUGACACUGAUUUUGGUAAUCUAAUUGUCAUUUUACCUGAUUCUGAUUUCCCUCUCUGCUGCUUCAAUUUUAUGUGACUUCUCUUUUUCUUUGUUGCUUUUGCUUGGCUUGUAUGAGGGAGAUCAAAAUCAGGGAAAAUG
This is a long non-coding RNA of Neltuma alba, 144 nucleotides long. RefSeq lists it as uncharacterized. NCBI's taxonomy places the organism in Eukaryota, Viridiplantae, Streptophyta, Magnoliopsida, Fabales, Fabaceae. The transcript is spliced from 3 exons. The record is from RefSeq and is a predicted model, not a curated record.